Molecule: long non-coding RNA, 876 nt
Organism: Peromyscus eremicus (cactus mouse)
Lineage: Eukaryota; Metazoa; Chordata; Mammalia; Rodentia; Cricetidae
Exons: 3
Source: RefSeq, a predicted model, not a curated record
CGGCCGGAGGAGAGCAGUUGGCAGUUAUUUUGCAGUAGACUUUUCUCAGGGAUGAAGGCAAGCUGGCCUCUAGCUGAUCAGCUGGUUGGUGAGGACUCUGCAGGAAGAUAGGGACCAUUGUCAAGAUAGAAGGACGCCCACAAGGUCCAGGUUGAGACCCGGAGGCCCCGAGCGAGCGAUUCUUCUGUCCUACCCAGAAAGGCACCCUCCUAUUCGGGGAGAGCUGUAAGCAGAUGGCCUGGACCCUCUCCAGACCUGCCACCUCUUCAAUGUGGGCAAAAAGUUUGUGCUCAUCAUCACCAGUCGAGCUAUAACAAAGAGCAUGGAGGCGGACCCUGGAUUCACGGUGCCACUUUCUAGCAACUGAGAGGCCAACCUCAAGGGAUCACUCACCUCUGAGAUGAGCUGAUACUUUCACAGCUUGGCGGAGCCCCAGCUAUCCAAAAGAAGAUCUGUUAGGAUGAUUAUAGCUUUGAUUCUUCCCAUUCGCCCUCAUUCCUCACUCCAGUCCUCUGCCUUAGUAAGAGGAAAGAAAGCUCAGCCCUCAGAGGCUGUGUUCUUUGGAAGGACUGUCGACAAGUUAGCUCUUUUGCAGCUGUGAGGAGGAGGCUGGGGCUGGCGGGAAUUCUGCCCCUGGCUCUUUGUCCAGAGUUCAGCUUUGUCACAGAGGUUUUCCCAUUUACCAUCAACAUUGAAACUUUCGUCUUCACCUGGGCCUAGUCUCCCUGUUUUGUGCACUAUUCUGUUCCUCCAAACUGCUCUCCCUGUGAAGAAGGCCUAUGGGAUGCAGGAAGCCUGGCCAGCCACCCAGGCCCUUAUAAAGGCCCUCAUGCCACAGGGGGGAGAAGAGAGACUUAAUAAAGGCUUUAAAAUGCU